RNAcentral lists this long non-coding RNA (329 nucleotides) under Malus domestica (apple). RNAcentral's name for it is "long non-coding RNA (MDOM_LNC005969)". The record is from RNAcentral. Lineage: Eukaryota; Viridiplantae; Streptophyta; Magnoliopsida; Rosales; Rosaceae.
UAAUCUAAUCAUCGAAUAUUUUUUUUUUGGUAAAAAAAAACCAACUCGAAAAAAGAAGCAAAACAUACUAAAAAUCUGAAAUGCUGAUCGACGACAAACCCAAAUUCUUCUUCUAUCCAUACAGCUCGCUACUACCUAGCUACAUAGUCGGUGAUGACACAUCUUGGUAACAUACGUAGGUGAUGAUGACAAAGCAAAUGAACUCUCCUGAUGAUCUAAUAGGGCUGGUCCGGUGGUUAGAAUGGCGGGCGGCUGGUAGCCCAGUACGCUGCCUCAGCUGGCAAUUCCAUGGAAUUCAGAAGAUUGGGAUGCAACCCAUGAAAAAGAGG